UUAAGGGCGAGGCGCCACCGAAGAGCAGCCUGCCCGCGUGGGGGAAACUCACUGGGAUCCGGAGUUUGCCCGGGACAACAAAACUCGCAGCAGCCGGACAUUGAUUUACCCUCCUCCGUCUUGCCUGUCCCGGUUCAGAGGGAAUCCCAGCGCGGCUGGCAGGAGCCCGGGCACCGCAAUAAGAAAAGCUCCGGCUGCAGCCCCCCUCCCAGGCUGAUCUGUUAUUCUUCAGAUUAAUAUUGAUCAGCCUUUUACCAGUGGGGUUUAGCUGUAAUGGUGAUAAAUACCUCGUGUUGCAGCGGGCUAUAGCUCGCUGCUUGGAAGGGAGCCCCGGCUGUUCCGCAGCUCCGGCUUACAAUCUGAUUCAGAGCACUAACCUAGCUAGUGAAGACAUCAGAUCAUGAAGGAAGUGGAGGGUAUUGCAUUUGAGAAAUAAUUGAUGUUGAGAUCCUGAGGUGCAACUUUUCUGUCUAUCAGCCUAGUGCAUUGCUCACAGCUUUGCUGCUGGGCAUGAACAGUUUGCCAUCUUCAACAUUACACAUACAUUUUCUGCAGUUCUUUUAACUUAGAAAAUAAAACAUUUUGAUGCUGGUUUGGAUCUAGAUUUAAAGUUCGGAACAUGGUGUAUGUAUGAGAAGAGGUUUUGUUGCAUUGUUCUUCAUGAUUCCAAGGAGCAAGGCCAGAUCCUCAAAGGUAGGUUCUGAACUAACUGUUAGGUGUUAUAUACCUUUUAGGAUCUGGGCCAGUUCUCCCCAACAGGAGCUACUUCUGAAUGUUUAUGGUACAAUCUCAUCUAAAAAUAUAUGGGCUUUGUCUACA
Molecule: long non-coding RNA, 819 nt
Organism: Pelodiscus sinensis (Chinese soft-shelled turtle)
Lineage: Eukaryota; Metazoa; Chordata; Testudines; Trionychidae
Source: RefSeq, a predicted model, not a curated record